RNAcentral lists this transfer RNA (67 nucleotides) under Stylochoplana maculata. Its description in RNAcentral is "tRNA-Trp". The record is from RNAcentral. Lineage: Eukaryota; Metazoa; Platyhelminthes; Polycladida; Leptoplanidae.
AGGCCUUUAGGUUAUUUAGACCUUGAGCCUUCAAAGCUCAGAGAGAGAUUAGAUAUUUCAUGGUCUG